CCUGCCUUUAUUUUUUUUUUUUUUUACAAAAAUUGUCAUCCUGUCUAUUUUUUACUCAAAAGCUCCUGUCCUGCCUUUUUUCAAAUUUCAUCCUAGCCUCCCCAUAAAAAUGGUAGCUGACUUAGUUUUCUCUUGCGACUGUUUUUAAACGUUUUUCAAUUGAUUUUUUACAAUUUUUUCUUAUAUAUUGUAACACCACUGUCCCAGGUUAGUAUGACUGAGAACUCACAAACAUAAACCCAAUCCCUUAAUUU
This 254-nucleotide long non-coding RNA is filed under the name Mytilus galloprovincialis (Mediterranean mussel). Lineage: Eukaryota; Metazoa; Mollusca; Bivalvia; Mytilida; Mytilidae. The record is from RNAcentral.